AGAGUUUGAUCCUGGCUCAGAUUGAACGCUGGCGGCAUGCUUUACACAUGCAAGUCGAACGGGAGUGGAGGGGCGACUCUCCAUUUCAGUGGCGGACGGGUGAGUAAUGCAUCGGAACGUAUCCCGUAGUGGGGGACAACCCAGCGAAAGCUGGGCUAAUACCGCAUACGCUCUACGGAGGAAAGCGGGGGACCCUGAGAGGGGCCUCGUGCUAGGGGGGCGGCCGAUGUCCGAUUAGCUAGUUGGUGGGGUAAUGGCCCACCAAGGCGACGAUCGGUAGCUGGUCUGAGAGGAUGAUCAGCCACACUGGGACUGAGACACGGCCCAGACUCCUACGGGAGGCAGCAGUGGGGAAUUUUGGACAAUGGGCGCAAGCCUGAUCCAGCCAUGCCGCGUGCGGGAAGAAGGCCUUCGGGUUGUAAACCGCUUUUGUCCGGGAAGAAAGGGCCCAUCCGAAUACGGUGGGUUGUGCCGGUACCGGAGAAUAAGCACCGGCUAACUACGUGCCAGCAGCCGCGGUA
This 521-nucleotide ribosomal RNA is filed under the name uncultured Pseudomonadota bacterium. RNAcentral's name for it is "bacterial SSU rRNA". It matches the Rfam family "Bacterial small subunit ribosomal RNA", at positions 8 to 522 of the family's 1533-position model. Lineage: Bacteria; Pseudomonadati; Pseudomonadota. The record is from RNAcentral.